AGAGUUUGAUCAUGGCUCAGGACGAACGCUGGCGGCGCGCCUAACACAUGCAAGUCGAGCGAGAACCAGGGCUUCGGCCCUGGGGACAGCGGCGAACGGGUGAGUAACACGUGGGUAACCUGCCCUCGGCACCGGGAUAGCCCGGGGAAACCCGGAUUAAUACCGGACGGCCUCACGAGCUCUCGGGCUCGUGAGAAAAGGUGGCUUCGGCUUCCGGCUGAGGAUGGGCCCGCGGCCGAUUAGCUUGUUGGUGGGGUAACGGCUCACCAAGGCGACGAUCGGUAGCUGGUCUGAGAGGACGAUCAGCCACACUGGGACUGAGACACGGCCCAGACUCCUACGGGAGGCAGCAGUGGGGAAUCUUGCGCAAUGGACGAAAGCCUGACGCAGCGACGCCGCGUGCGGGAAGAAGGCCUUCGGGUUGUAAACCGCUUUCAGGAGGGACGAAGCCACUCGGGUGAAUAGCCCAGAGGGUGACGGUACCUCCAGAAGAAGCCCCGGCUAACUACGUGCCAGCAGCCGCGGUAAUACGUAGGGGGCUAGCGUUGUCCGGAUUUAUUGGGCGUAAAGCGCGUGUAGGCGGCCAGAUAGGUCUGCUGUGAAAACUCGAGGCUCAACCUCGAGCUGUCGGCGGAAACCAUCUGGCUAGAGUCCGGAAGAGGAGAGUGGAAUUCCCGGUGUAGCGGUGAAAUGCGCAGAUAU
Molecule: ribosomal RNA, 702 nt
Filed under: uncultured bacterium
Lineage: Bacteria
Description: bacterial SSU rRNA
Rfam family: Bacterial small subunit ribosomal RNA
Source: RNAcentral